Equus asinus (donkey) is the source of this 2071-nucleotide long non-coding RNA. The record is from Ensembl. Lineage: Eukaryota; Metazoa; Chordata; Mammalia; Perissodactyla; Equidae.
GCCGGCCCCCGGCGGCGGUCGCCGCGGGGUCGAGGUGGGCGCGCGGCUGGGCCUGGGAGGCGCGGCCUGGCACAGCGCCACCGCGCGCCGGGGACCCGGCGGGGACUGCGAGUGACGGCACAGCCUCCGGCCUGGCGCGGAGCUCCAUUCGGUCCCUGCCAGCAGCCGGCUGUGCUGUCGGCCCCGGGGCGCGCUCCAGAAGCAGAAAGUUCCAGGGCCACCCAGAUGCUCCCGGGGCUCCUCGGACUUGGUCUCUCCGCUGUCCCGAGGGCCCCGGAGACCCCUUCCAGUCCUCAGCCCCUCGGUGUGCCGAGCCUGGUCCGCGCACCCCUGGGCCCGCGCUGUCAGGUCCUCGAACCGUGCUUGACGUUGCCCUUGACCCAUGGCAGAGCUAGAGCCACGAAGGAUUCGGUUUUGGCGACAUCUCAGAGAUCGUCCAAUGCUUUCAAAAGGGCAGCUGGGCAACCCACAGCGGUUACGCGACUUGCUCGGCGUCCUGGAAGUUCAAGAUGGGGAAACUGAGGCUUGGAAAGCUUAACAUCAUCUGUCCAAAGGCCACCCAAGUUGAAGCCGCUCUUGGGGAAUUCAGACCAUUUCUGCUGUUCAGGGCCACGUGAGGGUCCCCAGAUUCCUCAACAGUGAUGCUGCCUUCACACCUUCUUUUGUACUUUUCCCACCACUUCUGGAAACGCACUUAAAUAAGCUGGAGCUGCACCGAGACUUUAUCAGAAGAAAGAGGAGCAGCUCGUGGAGCAUAAGGGAUCACAGGCGAGAUUGGAACGGGACGCUGUAAAGCCUGGAACUGGACUCGGUAAGGACUGGAACUGGAUGCUGUAAAGGCUUGAACUGGACGCUAUAAAGCCUGGAACUGGACUCUCUAAAGCUAUCAGCAACCGAAGCAUCUACUCGUUCUGUCUCUUACUGCGAGAUGUAGAGUUUCUGCUGAUUAUCCUCAUCUAUCACAUCAGCUAUGUUGCAUCACGUCUCUUCCCCUGUUAAACAUCCCAGUGCACCACUGCAGAAAAUUUAACCCGUUAGACUACUGUCUUGCACCGGGAGCUGUCUCCACCUACUACUGAUGAUGGGGUCCUCAUCACCAGCGGGACAAGUGGGUGUGCCAGCCCCCAAACUCCAUUGUUUCACCUGCUGUCUCAGCACAUUCCUGCUCCUAACUCUUGCAGACUGGGUGCCUUGGAAAAGUCUCUGAGAUGGGGAUUCAGCAAGUACAGUGUUUGUUCGGGAGUGCCCUGGAGAGCCAUGCCUGAGGAAGGGAGAGAAAGCAGCAGAAUGGGACAGAGAGAGAAACUGAGCUGCGCUUUAGGUCCAACAAGAGCCCCGGAAGACCCCACUGAGACCCCUGGAACUACACUGAUCCUUAGUGUGGUCCUGAGUUGGGCCAAAAUGGCCAGACCUUUAUACUUUUCAAUCGAUCAGUCAUUUCACGUGCACUGCUCAAGGAAGGGAUGAGCAAGACAGCUCUCUGCAGCUAACAUGACCCCGGAAGGGUCUGACGGUGGAAGGCUGUCUGCCAGCAGCAUUCCCAGCAGCUGGGGCAAUGAGUCUUGCCUUGAAGGCAUCUAGGAGCAGCAACUCAGUGUUCAUCACUUCUUCACUGGCUCUUCAGCUAAUCUAUUUUCAUUAUUCUUCUAGGUCUUCUCAUAGGGAUUAAAUAUGAAUCCUUAGUUUAUCACAGUCUACUCAGAGUUAACAUUAUAUCACUUCUCAGAAAAUAUAAUAACCUUGUAACAAUAUAUUUCCAUUUAUCACCAUCCUUAGUUCUAUUGUUGUCAUGUAUAUUACUUGACUUACUUUAUAAACCCCCAAUACAGAGUUAAAGUGUUAUGUCUUUUAAAGAAAUUAAGAGAAUAAAAAAACUAUGUAAUCUUUUGUAUUUGCCUACAUAUUUACUAUUCCUGGUGCUCACUCUUUUUUUUUUCUUUCUUUCUUUCCUUCUCUCUCUCUCUCCUUCUUUCUCUCUCUGUCUCUUUCUCUCUUUCUUUCUCUUCCUUUCUUUCUUGCUCUUUCUCUCUCUCUUUCGUUCCCUUUCUUUUUCUUUCUUUCUUUCUUUUUU